RNAcentral lists this unclassified non-coding RNA (254 nucleotides) under Glomus sp. Its description in RNAcentral is "partial contains 5.8S ribosomal RNA and internal transcribed spacer 2". The stretch from base 1 to 65 matches the Rfam family "5.8S ribosomal RNA", at positions 84 to 154 of the family's 154-position model. The record is from RNAcentral. Lineage: Eukaryota; Fungi; Glomeromycota; Glomeromycetes; Glomerales; Glomeraceae.
GUGAAUCAUCGAAUCUUUGAACGCAAAUUGCACUCUCCUCGAAGAGUAUGCCUGUUUGAGGGUCAGCCUAUAAAAAAUCGAAAUCGUUGCUGGUUCGCGGUUGCGUUCGUCGGAAAUUGGGUCAUCGUAAAUCUUUUUGUUUUUAGCUACUUAAAAUUCUCUUUUUGGUUCCAUGAACGGUUCUAAAAUUUAUUUCUUUACACUUUUAAGGUAUCGUUUUUUAUUAGACUUUACCAGCAUAUCGGAUCGCGCCU